This 1393-nucleotide long non-coding RNA is filed under the name Mus musculus (house mouse). RNAcentral describes it as "long non-coding RNA chr10:28812041-28813434". The record is from RNAcentral. Lineage: Eukaryota; Metazoa; Chordata; Mammalia; Rodentia; Muridae.
GUUUCCAGGAACUGGGCGUGGUUCCUUCAAAGUUGUCCAAAACUGUGUUCACAGCCACUGACUAGAUCUUGGGAAGAUUUGUUACACUGCAACAGAUAACUGAGCUAUUUAAGUCACCGACUGUGUAAGAACGCAGAAUGAUGUAGAUUUUAAAUGAAUAAAUGUGAUAAUUAUGUCUCACUCUAAACUUUGGUCCUCCUUAAAUAUUUUUGUAUAUCAAAUAAUGAUAUGGCAACUAGAUUUAAAGUCACACAGAGUCAUUGCUGUAUUAAUUAUGCUUUAGGUUUCCUAGCUUCUCUAAUAAUGUGGUUUUUCAUAAAGUGAUACUUUAAGCCAUUUAUAGAUCUUGGCAGGCAAAGAGAUAGCAGAUGUCAUGCCUGUGAUGAAAAUACCCAUAAUAUGCCUGUUGUCAUAAGAGGAUAUUUAAAAAAUCUUAAAGCGGAAGUUUAGAAUUGUAGAAGCUUAUCAGGCAUAGAAAUACAGAUAUUUUUAAACAAAUAUUUUUUAAAGAUCUCUGAAUAGUUUUAACAGUGCUCAGAUUUUAAUGGCAAAAAUUAGAUGAUGAGGUUCAACAUGCUCUAAAAACAUAAAUCUUUCUUUUGGAAGAGACAAGGUUUGAAUUUGGCAGUAAUGGUUUAUCAGGAAUAUGUCUGGUGAUCAGAAACCUAAGACAUGCCUCUAAAAGCUGUGUCAGCCAGUCUUAGUACCAGUCUUGAUGCCAUCACAUUGGCUUCUGUGUGUGAAACUGUUAUGAAAAAAACCUACAUUCUUUGUCUUAUUCCCCAAGGAAGUAUAGUCCAGGCUCAAGUUCUUAUUCUCUUACUUCAAAAUUUUCAAAUUAUCCCUAGCUUUUUAGUUAUAUUUUAGCCAUUUGAAUCAUGCAAAAAGUUAAUCAGGGGCUUUAAAUACUUAGUUGGUGUUAACAUAUCUUUAUAUACAAACUGACAUUAAAUUAUGGAACUUACCCAGCUCUAUCACACUGAUUUAACUUAAUUUCAUUUUUUCUAAGUAUAGCUUGGCUGGUGAAGCCAGGGAGGGGCUAACAGGCUUAGAGUGUGUGUACAGUAUUUCUAGAAUGAACUGUGCACCCCCAGCUCUUAGUGACCCAUAUAAAUGAAGGGAUCAGAUCUCUACUAUUCAGGAGACCUUCUUACAGUUUCAGAAUUCCUUGAGAGUGGGAACAUUUUAAUAAUUUGGACUUGAGAGAUAGAAUGGCUGUUUGCAAGGAAGAGCCAUGUGAAUGAAAGUCUGUUAGCAAGAAUGCUGGGUACAGAGUAGAGAAGCUUCAAAAUGACAUCCCAAGUACACGUGAGUGAAUCUGGCUGUACACAAACUAAGUGCUAGAGCCAAGGAUUUCCAGAGGCUGACAUCAGGAGCUUCAUCACUAAGCAGU